This 423-nucleotide ribosomal RNA is filed under the name Entamoeba dispar. RNAcentral's name for it is "partial ribosomal RNA". The stretch from base 124 to 273 matches the Rfam family "5.8S ribosomal RNA". Lineage: Eukaryota; Evosea; Mastigamoebida; Endamoebidae. The record is from RNAcentral.
UAAAAGAAAAGAAAUAAUCUUUAAAAUAAAACAAGAAAUUUAUAGAAUAAGAUAAUCUACAAAGAAAAUAAUAAAAGUAAGAAUAAAAGGAAUUAGAAUAUAAGAAGAAAGAAAAAGUAUAAUAAAAUAUUACUUUGGAUAGUUUAGUUUCCUGUGCGAUGAAGAACGCAAUGAAUUGCGAUAAGUGAUAGGAACAAUAAAUGUGGAUAUCCAAACUUUGAAUGCUUGAAAGUAUACUUAUGAACUUCAAGGUAUAUAUGAUAUUCAAUAUCCAAAAUAAAAGCGUAUAUUAAAAGCAAAUAUUAGUAGAAGUGAGAAGUAGCUAGUGGGUAAAAGAGAGAAGAAGUAAAGAGCUUUAACCAGAUAUCUAUAAGUGAGUUAAUAAAUAAAGAUUUGAGUAUCGUAAGAGGACUCCCUUAACUU